UACGUAGGGGGCAAGCGUUGUCCGGAAUCAUUGGGCGUAAAGAGCGCGUAGGCGGCCCUGUAAGUCCGCUGUGAAAGUCAAGGGCUCAACCCUUGAAUGCCGGUGGAUACUGCAGGGCUAGAGUCCGGAAGAGGCGAGUGGAAUUCCUGGUGUAGCGGUGAAAUGCGCAGAUAUCAGGAGGAACACCGAUUGCGAAGGCAGCUCGCUGGGACGUUACUGACGCUGAGACGCGAAAGCGUGGGGAGCAAACAGG
RNAcentral lists this ribosomal RNA (253 nucleotides) under uncultured bacterium. RNAcentral describes it as "partial 16S ribosomal RNA". It matches the Rfam family "Bacterial small subunit ribosomal RNA", at positions 524 to 776 of the family's 1533-position model. The record is from RNAcentral.